RNAcentral lists this ribosomal RNA (459 nucleotides) under uncultured bacterium. RNAcentral describes it as "partial 16S ribosomal RNA". It matches the Rfam family "Bacterial small subunit ribosomal RNA", at positions 338 to 795 of the family's 1533-position model. The record is from RNAcentral.
CCUACGGGCGGCAGCAGUGAGGAAUAUUGGUCAAUGGGCGCGAGCCUGAACCAGCCAAGUCGCGUGAGGGAAGACGGUCCUAUGGAUUGUAAACCUCUUUUGUCGGGGAGCAAAAGACGCCACGCGUGGCGUUCCGAGAGUACCCGAAGAAAAAGCAUCGGCUAACUCCGUGCCAGCAGCCGCGGUAAUACGGAGGAUGCGAGCGUUAUCCGGCUUUAUUGGGUUUAAAGGGUGCGCAGGCGGAAGAUCAAGUCAGCGGUAAAAUUGAGAGGCUCAACCUCUUCGAGCCGUGGAAACUGGUUGUCUUGAGUGAGCGAGAAGUAGGCGGAAUGCGUGGUGUAGCGGUGAAAUGCAUAGAUAUCACGCAGAACUCCGAUUGCGAAGGCAGCAUACCGGCGCUCAACUGACGCUCAUGCACGAAAGUGUGGGUAUCGAACAGGAUUAGAUACCCCUGUAGUC